Molecule: long non-coding RNA, 544 nt
Organism: Dioscorea cayenensis subsp. rotundata (Guinea yam)
Lineage: Eukaryota; Viridiplantae; Streptophyta; Magnoliopsida; Dioscoreales; Dioscoreaceae
Exons: 5
Source: RefSeq, a predicted model, not a curated record
UUAAGAUUCCCUCUUCUUGAUACAUGGAUCAUCCGACGGCCCUCAAUUCACAGAUCACACAAACCUAAAUGGGUCGGGUUUGUUUCAUGUCAAUUAAUCUAACACUGAAUCUGAUAUGAUAUGCUUUUUUUAAAAAACACCCUGUUUUUUUUCUUUGCUUUCUUUCUCGCUCUCUCACUUCUUCUCUCUUGCUCCUUUGAAGAAUCAAAACCCUUGGUUAAGCUCUCAUUGAUCUUCUCCAGAUUUGUGAGGACCCAGCAGUUCGAAGAAUAGCUGAACAAUCAAAUUAUGGUGGCGGUCCAUUCUACACAACAAACCCAACUAGUGUUCCUUCAGCUUCAAAUUCUAGACUUUCACCUCUUCCUCCAGAACCUGCUGAUUUCUACAAUGACCUAAGUGCAACAGUUGAUAUUCCUCUUGAUUCAACAAAGGAUUUAAAGAAAAAGGAGAGGGAGCUUUAAGCCAAGGAGGCAGAACUGAAUAAAAGAGAACAUGAGCUAAAACGGAGAGAAGAUGCUGCAGCAUGAGGUACAUACUUAUAUUU